RNAcentral lists this ribosomal RNA (492 nucleotides) under uncultured bacterium. RNAcentral describes it as "partial 16S ribosomal RNA". It matches the Rfam family "Bacterial small subunit ribosomal RNA", at positions 29 to 507 of the family's 1533-position model. The record is from RNAcentral.
AGUGAACGCUGGCGGUAGGCCUAACACAUGCAAGUCGAACGGCAGCACAGUAAGAGCUUGCUCUUACGGGUGGCGAGUGGCGGACGGGUGAGGAAUACAUCGGAAUCUACUUUUUCGUGGGGGAUAACGUAGGGAAACUUACGCUAAUACCGCAUACGACCUACGGGUGAAAGCAGGGGAUCUUCGGACCUUGCGCGAUUGAAUGAGCCGAUGUCGGAUUAGCUAGUUGGCGGGGUAAAGGCCCACCAAGGCGACGAUCCGUAGCUGGUCUGAGAGGAUGAUCAGCCACACUGGAACUGAGACACGGUCCAGACUCCUACGGGAGGCAGCAGUGGUGAAUAUUGGACAAUGGGCGCAAGCCUGAUCCAGCCAUACCGCGUGGAUGAAGAAGGCCUUCGGGUUGUAAAGCCCUUUUGUUGGGAAAGAAAAGCAGCAGGUUAAUACCCCGCUGUUCUGACGGUACCCAAAGAAUAAGCACCGGCUAACUUCGUG